This 109-nucleotide ribosomal RNA is filed under the name Candidatus Liptonbacteria bacterium CG11_big_fil_rev_8_21_14_0_20_35_14. Lineage: Bacteria; Candidatus Liptoniibacteriota. The record is from RNAcentral.
CUCGGUGAUUUAAUUAUGUGUGUCCCACCCGAUUCCAUUCCGAACUCGGUAGUGAAAUCAUAUAAUUCCGAUGAUACUCUAAAUGUGGGGAAAGUAGGAUUUGCCGGGA